UACUCAACCGCCGCUGUCUGGCUGUCAUCCGUCAAACCAAACGUCAAAGUCAAAUGUCAUCCGCAGGUGGACCCCUAUCAGUUUAUCAAUUUUUCCUCGAAAAGCCACACAUUCCGCACUUAAUGAAUUAAAACAAUGGCAAUAAACCUCGACAAACACCGCGACGAGCUCGUCUCCGCCUGGAAGGACGUCCUCGACGCCAAAACCGCCACAAACUGGGCCUUAUUCGCCUACGAGGGCCAAACCAACAUCCUCAAGUUCGUGAGCAAGGGCUCCGCCGGCAUCGAAGAGCUCACCGAGGACUUCAACAGCGGCAAAAUCAUGUACGCUUUCGUGCAAGUCGAAGACCCCAAAACGUCCCUAACCAAGUUCGUCCUGAUCAACUGGCAGGGCGAGGGGGCCAACACGCUCCGCAAAGGCAUCUCCGCCAACCACCUCCGCGACGUGGAGAAGUUCUUCACCGGCGCACAUUUGACAAUAAGCGCUCGCAACGAAGAGGAAGUGGAGCCCCAGCUCAUCAUCGACAAGGUGGCCAAGUCGGGGUCGGCGUACAGCUUCAAGGCGCCGCGGGCGGAGAUCAUCGAGCCGUCGGGGCCCGUGGGGACGACGUACCAGCGGGUGAACCCCAUUAAAGAGAUUAAUUCAAGGGAGAGGGACCAGUUCUGGCGGAAGGAAGAGGAAGAGGAGAAGAAGCGGGUGGAGGAGGAGCGGAAGCGGAAGGAGUUGGAGAGGAUGAAAAGCGAAGAGGAGCUGAAGAAGAGGGAGCUCCAGGAGACGGCCAAACGGGACGCGGAGAUGUCCCGCAGGAACAACAACAUCGAUUUGAUCAAACAGGCCGAAAAGGAGGCUGCUAGUAGUGCUGUGGAGGCGUCGAAUUACGACGAUUUCGAAGAGGAGUUCGUGAAUAGGGUGAAUCAGAGUGAGGUUUUGAGAAAGCAGCGGAAACAAGAGGCUGAGGAUUUAAUUUCGCAGAGAACGAUUGACGCUAGAUCAAUUUUCGAACAACAUACGUCAGCUGGGCAGAAAAAAACCCCCGAAAAGCCGGUCAGAAACUCGAUUUUGAAGGCGCAGAAUUUGACGGUUGAGGCAAAACCGUAUGAUAGCGACGAAGAGGGUGACCAAUUUUCAACAAUCAAACGUUCUCCGAAAGACUUGGAUAAGAAAAGUGUUACAAGCCCGACUUUAGCGGAGGCUCCUGUGAACGAGCUUCCGAAAGAGGAAAAAAUUCAACCCAUCGAACAAAUCACAGAUCAACAAUUUGUGGACGAAUACUUGUAUGAAUUUAGCACCCCAGGACUUCAAGCUAGAGCUCUUUAUGAUUAUCAAGCCGCUGACGACAGUGAAAUCACCUUUGAUCCAGGUGACAUAAUCACAAACAUCGACCAAGUGGACGAGGGCUGGUGGCAAGGUCUAGCUCCUAACGGUACUUACGGGCUCUUCCCAGCCAAUUACGUUGAGUUAAUGCAAUAAUUAUGACGCUUGUGCUUGUUCAGUUGCUCAGUUGCAUUUAAUCAAAUUUUUUGACGCAAUAAUUUGUCGAUAUAGGUUAAGUUCAUUUUGAUACCAAAAUUCUAACUUUUAAGUAUAUUCUGGCAUGGCACACUGCUAAAAGUAUUAAUUGAGCACUCAGGCGAUCAUACGUUUAAAAAGGCAACGCAGUGUUUUUUAAUUAUUUAUUAAUAUAGCGAAACUGUCACACGAUGUUUUGGAAGUGUCUGUGUUCACGUCACAAUAAUGCAUGAAUUGACACGUCACGAACUUGACGUUUUAGACAGAAUUUUGGCAACUCUGACACCCCAUAGCGAUCACUUUAGAUGCCUUUGACACUCACGUUUGAAUCACCCCUUGCCUUACACUAUUGUGCAAAAUUUUGUCAAGAACACCCAGAGGUGCUAAGUUAGAGUAAAUGUCGCCAAAGUGUGUCAUAACGAAAUUCGACUUUAAGUAUGCUUUAAUUUAGAAGUAUUUUCGUACGUUGCUUGGUGCCUCCAGAAGUGUCUAGUGUUCCCUUCGCUUUCGCGCCUACUUCGUUCGUUUUAAGUUGCAGCACUGCCAUUCCUAUUUCUGUGCCAACCUUCUCAAGCCAAAACCCUAGCCGGCGGUUUUGUCGACGACUAAUUUCGCUGUUUGUUACUGUGAAUUGAACUAGAUAUAAAAUUUAAAAAUAGUUAUACCGUUGAUAAAUCAUAAUUUUUAUAUAUUAUUAUACAUUAUACUUACGUUACGAGGUAUGAUAUACAUUUACAUAUACAUAAAGAUUGUUAGUUAAGAAACGACUUUAGCACAAAUUAACUUUCCACAAGACUUACGAUCGUUUGCACCCUUUAUAUAAAUCUUUACUUUGUGAUAUGCCUUUUUCUUGCAAUCAAUACUCCCCAGCGUUGUACCAGCACUUCCAGAAUAGAGGUUAGUUUUUAAAAAAAAAAUGGGCUCGAAAGAACCAUGAGAAACAAACUGACAACGGGAACAACAAUUGGAAGGUUAUAUGAAGAACUGGUAGAGAGAACCAACAACCAAUAGGUUAAGUCAAUCACCCAUUUAAUGAGGCGUUCAGCGACGUCCAAUUGGCGUAGAGUUGACCACGUGAUACUUUAAUGUGGUGUUAAAAAUUUAAUCGCAAUCAAAUACUUAAUUGUGUCUGUGUAAAGAGCAGUUAAGCGUUCAUCAUCAUCCUCUUGUUCGCACAAAAAAUUGCUUUCGAAAAAUUUGAUUUGGAAAAUGUGAUUUAAAGAAAUAAACGUUAAAAUUUGA
RNA transcript from Zophobas morio, 2751 nucleotides. It is a transcript of the gene named drebrin-like protein, with no coding region annotated. Lineage: Eukaryota; Metazoa; Arthropoda; Insecta; Coleoptera; Tenebrionidae. The transcript has 4 exons. The record is from RefSeq and is a predicted model, not a curated record.